Molecule: ribosomal RNA, 719 nt
Filed under: unidentified
Description: Placidium nigrum partial large subunit ribosomal RNA
Rfam family: Eukaryotic large subunit ribosomal RNA
Source: RNAcentral
AUAUGGGCCCGAGACCGAUAGCGCACAAGUAGAGUGAUCGAAAGAUGAAAAGCACUUUGAAAAGAGAGUUAAACAGUACGUGAAAUUGUUGAAAGGGAAGCGCUGGUCCCCAGACGUGGGCGCGAUCGGUUCCCCCGGUCCUCGGAGCGGGCUACUCCAUCGCGUCCAGGCCCACAUCGGUUGGGGUGGUCAGUGAAAGGUCCCGGGAACGUACCGACUCUUCGGGGUCGACUUAUAGCCCGGGGCGCCAUAUGACCCACCCCGACCGAGGAACGCGCUCCGGCUCGGAUGUGGGCGUAAUGGGGAUCAGCGGCCCGUCUUGAAACACGGACCAAGGAGUCGAACCGCCGUGCGAGUGUUUGGGUGUCAAGCCCCGACGCGGAAUGAAGGUGAACGGAGGUCAGAACCCCAUCUCGGGGCGCAUGAUCGACCGAUCCGGAUGUCUUCGGAUGGAUUUGAGUAUGAGCACGGCGGGUCGGACCCGAAAGAUGGUGAACUAUGCCUGGAUAGGGUGAAGCCAGAGGAAACUCUGGUGGAGGCUCGCAGCGGUUCUGACGUGCAAAUCGAUCGUCAAAUCUGGGUAUAGGGGCGAAAGACCAAUCGAACCAUCUGGUAGCUGGUUCCUGCCGAAGUUUCCCUCAGGAUAGCAGUAACGGUGUCAGUUUUAUGAGGUAAAGCGAAUGAUUAGCGGCCUGGGGGUGGCAACCACCUUCACCGAU